GAUGAACGCUAGCGGCAGGCCUAAUACAUGCAAGUCGGACGGGAUUCAGGAGCUUGCUUCUGAUGAGAGUGGCGCACGGGUGCGUAACACGUAUGUAACCUACCUUUAUCAGGGGGAUAGCCUCUCGAAAGAGAGAUUAAGCCCGCAUAAAAUCACAGCACAGCAUUGUGUAAUGAUCAAAUAUUUAUAGGUUAAAGAUGGGCAUGCGGAACAUUAGCUAGAUGGCGGGGUAACGGCCCACCAUGGCGACGAUGUUUAGGGGAUCUGAGAGGAUGGCCCCCCACACUGGUACUGGGACACGGACCAGACUCCUACGGGCGGCAGCAGUAAGGAAUAUUGGGCAAUGGGCGGAAGCCUGAACCAGCCAUGCCGCGUGCAGGAAGACGGCCCUACGGGUUGUAAACUGCUUUUAUACGGGAAUAAACCCAGAUACGUGUAUCUGGCUGAAUGUACUGUAAGAAUAAGGAACGGCUAACUCCGUG
RNAcentral lists this ribosomal RNA (482 nucleotides) under uncultured bacterium. RNAcentral's name for it is "partial 16S ribosomal RNA". It matches the Rfam family "Bacterial small subunit ribosomal RNA", at positions 28 to 507 of the family's 1533-position model. The record is from RNAcentral.